This is a long non-coding RNA of Talpa occidentalis (Iberian mole), 520 nucleotides long. RefSeq lists it as uncharacterized. Lineage: Eukaryota; Metazoa; Chordata; Mammalia; Eulipotyphla; Talpidae. The record is from RefSeq and is a predicted model, not a curated record. The transcript has 4 exons.
AGCGGCUGUCGCGCUUUUUCGGGCCUUCGCUGGCCGCCUGGUCACCUGAGGCUGCUCUUUUGAAGAAUUAUUUCACAGGUUACAGAAGUCUAGGGCUCGGGCUUUGCUUGUGGUUAGUCAUGUGCAAAACAGAAUGAAAACUUCCACUGUCAACUUACAUUGAUUCCCAUCUGCCAUGAAUGCUUGCACAUAGAUACAUGUGAGGACCUCCUGCUGGUAAUAUGCUCUGCAGCAGCAUCAGAGAAGCCAUGGAGUAUAAAAGAAAGACCACUGGAGAUGGUGCGCACUUGAGGUUUCUUUAUGAAAUUUCGAAGAAACGUGUCAGUUUCUAUUUUCACACUGAGAUAAAAAGGCAUUUAAUUCAAGUUGGUUAAAAGAUGUCCAGCAGUCUAUGGGUACAUAUCAGCUGUACUUGUAAAUCACGUUUCCAUGCAACCCAUAUCUGGUCAAGUAGCAAUUUGAAAACUGGUUGACAUGGUGAUAAUAUUUUUGUUAUGCAAUUGAGAUGUCUAAAAAUAGU